RNAcentral lists this long non-coding RNA (792 nucleotides) under Salmo salar (Atlantic salmon). RNAcentral describes it as "lncRNA (ENSSSAG00000082493.1)". Lineage: Eukaryota; Metazoa; Chordata; Actinopteri; Salmoniformes; Salmonidae. The record is from RNAcentral.
GUGUGUGUGUGUGUGUGUGUGUGUGUGUGUCCAGUGUGUGUGUGUGUGUGGUGUGUGUGUGUGUGUCCAGUGUGUGUGUGUGUAUGUGUGUGAGUCUGUGUGUGUUUUCGUUUGUCCAGUGUGCGUGUGUCCAGAAUGUGUUUGUGUGUGUUUGUUCAGUGUGUGUGUUGAGUGUGUGUGUCCAUUUUGUGUCCAGUUUGUGUGUGUUCAGUGUGUGUUCAGUGUGUGUUCAGUGUGUGUGUGUGUGUGUGUGUGUGUGUGUGUGUGUGUCCAGUGUGUGUGUGUGUGUGUCCAGUGUGUGUGUGUGUGUGCCCAGUUUGUGUGUCCAGUGUGUGUGUGUGUGUGUGUUUGUCCAGUGUGUGUGUGUGUGUGUGUGUGUCCAGUGUGUGUGUGUGUGUGUGUGUGUCCAGUGUGUGUGUGUGUGUGUGUCCAGUGUGUGUGUGUGUGUCCAGUGUGUGUGUGUGUGUCCAGUGUGUGUGUGUGUGUCCAGUAUGUGUGUGUGUGUGUCCAGUGUGUGUGUGUCCAGUGUGUGUGUGUGUCCAGUGUGUGUGUGUGAGUCAGUGUGUGUGUGUGUGUGUGUUUGUCUAGUGUGUGUGUCCAGUGUGUGUGUGUCUGUGUGUAUCCAGUGUUUGUGUGUGUGUGUGUCCAGUGUGUGUGUUUGUCCACUUUGUUUGUCCAGUGUGUGUGUGUGUGUGUGUCCAGUGUGUGUGUGUGUGUGUGUGUGUGUAUUUUUGUUUGACAGUGUGUGUGUGUGUGUGUGUGUGUGUGUGUGUGUGUGUGUGUGUGUGUCCA